This 454-nucleotide ribosomal RNA is filed under the name uncultured bacterium. RNAcentral describes it as "partial 16S ribosomal RNA". It matches the Rfam family "Bacterial small subunit ribosomal RNA", at positions 28 to 507 of the family's 1533-position model. The record is from RNAcentral.
GAUGAACGCUGACAGAAUGCUUAACACAUGCAAGUCUACCUGAACUUCGGUUUGGGUGGCGGACGGGUGAGUAACGCGUAAAGAACUUGCCUCACAGAUAGGGACAACAUUUGGAAACGAAUGCUAAUACCUGAUAUUAUGAUUUUAGGGCAUCCUAGAAUUAUGAAAGCUAUAUGCACUGUGAGAGAGCUUUGCGUCCUAUUAGCUAGUUGGAGAGGUAACGGCUCACCAAGGCGAUGAUGGGUAGCCGGCCUGAGAGGGUGAUCGGCCACAAGGGGACUGGGACACGGCCAGUACUCCUACGGGAGGCAGCAGUGGGGAAAUUUGGAAAAGGGACCAAGAGUGUGAUCCAGCAAUUCUGUGUGCAAGAUGAAGUUUUUCGGAAUGAAAAGCGCUUUCAGUUGAGAAGAAAAAAAUGACGGUACCAACAGAAGAAGUAACGGCUAACUACGUG